AAAACGCGGGAACAAGCAUCACCAUAGUAAGAGGGAAAUUCCCAAAGCACAUGAAGCAAGCAGGUCAAGCUGCGACACGUGUAUAUACGUGAUAUGCAUGAACGCACGACCACUUUUCUGAAAAAACAUUGUGACGAAUAUUUAGAGGGAAGUCAUUCCUGUAUUCUAGAUUGUCAGCUAGCUGGUUGUAGGCAGUGCACUGUUCGGAGCUGCAGUGGCGAUACACGAAAAUAGCACAGAGUCAUGGCCGCAGUUCCUGGCAAGCGGUUCACCGCCAUUAGGACAGUUACUGAGAGAAAUAAUGGUUGUGAGAAAGAAAACUGUCAAACACAAGCCUCAAAAGGACUAACGAAGGUUUUAUUAGAAAAUAGAGCAUGUGGCCAGUUUUCUGAUUAUGCAAUACUAAUGUUGCAUAUUUCGACUCAAGUCAGUGAUGAGGAAUAUUCCCAGAUGAAACUGGUCUUGUCAGUCGAUGAAGUAAUCAAGACUAAAAAAUGUUGUGAAAUAAGAAACACGGCUGAUCUUCUUGGACAUUUGCAUGGUCUGAAAAAAAUAUCAAGAAGCAACACGUCUCUGUUAAGAGAGUUAAUGCAAAGGAUCGGGAGAGAAGACCUGAAAUGUAAUGUGGACAAGUAUAUUGACAAUCAGGCAAAUUAUGCAGUGUGUGAGUGUGUUGAUCCUCCUUUACUAAACUACGAAGGUGUCCAGGAAGAAGGCGAAGGAGAAACAGAGGAAGAUCUUCCUGAGUCACAAGAGAGCACGGCGACCAUGGAGAGUUUGUCUGAUGACGAAAAGACGCUACGCCUCCUCAAUGGUGAGGAUGUCUGCAUGGCAAGUGUAGACUAAGAAGAGGUGCAUAUCCUUUCUUCUUUGAAGAUAUGAUCACUACAUCUAAGCUGGUCUCAAAUCAGCAUAUUUCUGGACAGAUACACCUCAUGUAGGGGCGUAACAAAUCAUCAAAGGUGACUAGCUUCUGAAGUUAUCUAAUAUCUAUGCAAAACAGUCAUGGAUAAUUUGUUUGUGUUACUGAAAACAGUGAGAGUCAUGAUUGCUCUGAGCCCUGUGAAACAUCUGUUACUGACUGCCAGUGUCUCUUGCCAUAGACUUGUUAUGUCUUCCUAGUUAUUCCAUGACAAAAUGUGAUUGUUGUGGUUGGUGCAUGUUUUAUAAAGAAGAUAUAUUUUGUACUUUUGAAAAUUUGUUGAAGCAAUAGGUAUUGCAUUACACAUUGAUUAUCAACUUGCCUCAUGGUUCAAUAUAGUGCAUUGUUUAAGGAUAUCCCCUCCUAGUCCAUGUGACUGAAAGUGGGUCAACUGAUGACUUACAACAGGGCAGGAUUCAGAUGGACAAUUUUUCAAUAGAACACAACAUACUUGGUGGUGUUAUGUGAUUAUAGAUCGUUUAAGAGAAUUGUGUUAAAAGUCAAUUGACUUUUGUGCUUGAAAGUCUGUUUUCUUCCCACUUUUGUCUAUAUUGACUUUAUCGGUAAGUGACAUGUUAAAUAUGUUGGCUUUCCAAUUUAGUAUGUUAAUUGCUAUGUUUUUUGUAUUUUAAGAAAUUGCUUCUAAAUUUACUUUUGAUUGCCAAACCUUUAACCAUACAUAUUAAAAGAAAUCAUUCCUAAAGUAUAUUUAUAUUUGCCAGAGGUCUUUGCAAAAAUACUCUCAAGAAGUCAUUCCUGAAAUGUAUUCUUUUUGCCAAACAUUACAAUGAUUUUCAAAGAAAUCAUUCCUGAAAAAGUAUUAUUGUUUGCCAAACUGUGUUGCAUUUGUAUUAUUUGAUAUUACCUUUUGUCACAUGUGCAAUCAAUGUUCUGUAAUAUUGGCAUGUUGUAUAAAUGUCUUUCCAAAAUAUGUCGGCUGACAUAUAUGUAUGAAUACCAAGCUGUGUCUACACAGGUCAUAAUGAGUAGGAAACGUUUCAAGAUACAGAUUCAAGGUGUGGUUCUGUAUAGUGAAUGUACCAAAGUGACUGCUUGUCAUAAUAAUAAACAUCCUGGGAAAACAUAGUAAAUCUGACCAUUUAAGAGCAUGGAUUGAAUCUGUGGAGCCCCUUCUCAAACCUUGUGUUGUUGUCACGUAGUUUCAUGAAGUGACAACAGGAAUGACCAAUCUUUUAUAUUACCUUUUGUGUUCAUCUGUGUUCAUGAUUAUUUCCAAUUUUCAAUACUGCCCAUAAGUUUGGAAACACAAUCAGUUCUCAGGCAAACCCAUAUCAGUAGACAUAAUAGAACUGCUAGCUUCAGACUUUUUGUUUAGUCUGAAUAUGAUAUCGAUGCCAUUUUCACCUAAGCAAGAAUGGUAGCUGGUCCCUUUUUAAAAAGAUCCCCUUGGAAUUCCAGGGAAGGGUAGGUCCCCAUUUACCAUUGCUUAUCUAAUUGCCUUGACUGCCUGUAAAUGUACCCUGCUCACCCAUAUCAGCCUGACCCAGUCUUGAUUAUUGCAGACCUCCAUCAUGUAACUGGAUUUUUGCUGAAUGCAACAUUUCAAUCAUCAAAAACUUCUUGCCUGAGAACCAGUUGUCUAUGUUUCCAUCUUAUUUAGUCAUUAUACUGUAAAAACCACUUGCUAUGUCCUGAGGUGCUAUUCCAGUUUUAAGGUUGGGGUAUUUUUUUACCAGAUAAAAGUAACAUAUCUACCAUUUUGUUUUUGUACAUGUGUUGAACUUGAAGUACCUUUCUCCUGGCUUGUCAAAAUAUGCUUGAACCUUGAUGAAAAUGCUUAUCUAAUCAAGAAACUUUUGUUAGCAUCAAAUGCAUCAUAUUCCAUUUCUGUGAGAUAUUGUUUUGUGCCAGUUGAGUUCUGUGAUGUUGAUGUGUAUUAUUUGUGUCUUCAGAAUGUUGCUAUGUUGCUAUGGUUACUUUGUGUGCGUGUUAUGGUUAUGUAGUGAAAGUAGUGAAAAGAAUGUCCCUGUGAAUCAGAAAAAUAUAUGCAUAAAAUGCCCUUAGAUUAUAGAUAUAUUGGAGGAUUAACAUUCGAGGAUAAAAAAUUAUUAUUCCUUAAAAUAUAAUUCUUACUGAUGUGAUACUAUCUAAAUAAAAUUAUAUAUUUUGUUUAAAAUACAGUUGUUUUGUUUCUGAUUUAAGAAUUGUGAUUAAGGUUAUGCAUGCAUGGAUGCUGUUUAUGUUGCUGCUUUUUCAAGUGUUCAAUAAAAAGAUACUUGCUGAAGAU
RNAcentral lists this long non-coding RNA (3170 nucleotides) under Haliotis rubra (blacklip abalone). RNAcentral's name for it is "uncharacterized LOC124259374". The record is from RNAcentral. Lineage: Eukaryota; Metazoa; Mollusca; Gastropoda; Lepetellida; Haliotidae.